This 2109-nucleotide long non-coding RNA is filed under the name Phoenix dactylifera (date palm). Its description in RNAcentral is "long non-coding RNA (PDAC_LNC008639)". The record is from RNAcentral. Lineage: Eukaryota; Viridiplantae; Streptophyta; Magnoliopsida; Arecales; Arecaceae.
UGAGGGGCGGCUGCACUUAGAUUUCCUCCUUUUAUCUUUUAUCUUUUUUUAUUUAUAAUUACUCAAAAAAUAUUAUUUUUAAUAUUUUUGGAAUUAGAAAUUAAAUUUAGUGACGAAAAUUUCUGUCAAUAAUCCGUCACUAUCAAAAAUAAUCUUUUAAAAAUUUAUAAACAUUUGGGUUGUAAUUUUUGUGACGGGUGAAUUUGUCACUAUCUCGUUGCAAUUUCGCUUACCAGUUUUGUGACAGAUAUCCCGUCACGACAGUGGUCACUAAGUUUUGGCGCCCAUCCUACCCGCGUAUUUUGUGACCGGUCGGUCACUAAUCUGUCACUAAGUUUACGCCACGGUGACCAAAUUUCUGUCUGUCACUAAUCCGUCACAAAUAGUGACUGAUAAUGGGCCGUCACUAAUUUUCCGUCACUAUACGCGUGUUUUCUGGUAGUGAGUAUUUGCCUUGCACUCGAGUCGACUCCUAGAAUUCUCGAGUCGACUUUGGCACAUGGUUAUUGUCUGGCACUUCCUCGAGCCGACUCCCAGAUAGGGCGAGUCGACUCUUAAAGUAAAAAUAGAGAGCAAUUUUUCAAGUGCAGAGCGCAAGUUGACUCCAACUAUUGACGAGUCGACUCUUACAGGAAAGACAGAGAAGUGAUUUUUAAGGCACAGUACUCGAGUCAACUCCAACUCCUCGAGAGCCGACUCUUACAAAAAAGUUAGAGAGCAAGUUUUCAAGGCACAGUAUUUGAGUUGACUCCAAUUGUUCACGAGCCGACUCUUACAGAGAAAACAAAGAACGAAUUUCCAAGCUACAGUGCACGAGUCGACUCCCAGAAGUUUCGAGCUGUCUCCCGCAAAUUAAAGCCACAAAGUAAUUUCUUCGGCACAGUGGCUGGGUCGACUCGAACUGUUUACAAGCCGACUCCUAUAGAAAAAGCCGAGAGCAAUUUUGCACAGACUAGAAUGCAAGCCGACUCCGAAAUUGCUCGAACCAUCUCCUGGAAAAAGCUGGUAGUUCACAUUUGAAAACGCCGUGGGCGAGGCGAUUCCCGAUUUCUUCGAGCCGACUCUUACAUGAUUGACAGAGAGCUUAUUUAUAAAAGCCCGAAUUCGAAUCGACUCCAGAUUUUCAUGAGGCGUCUCCUAUUUCAGUCGAGCCGACUCCAAGACGGGAGAGUCGACUGCAAUCCCAAUGGAUACUUUGUGAGGACGUGCAGUUUUGUCAAAACGACUCUUUUCUCCUCUCUAACAGCUGGUUUUCGAGGAGAUAAGUUAUAAAAGGUGGUUCUAAGCAUUAACAAUAAAAAGAGAGAAAAUCCAUUGAGAGCAUUCAAGUCUAUCAACCACCGAAGGAGAGUUAGAGCCAUUCAAAGAAAAAGAGGAGUUAUUGCAUCCCAAGCGAUUUCAGAGCACUCCUCACAUUAAAGACUUAUUGAAGUGAUUCUCAACUAUCAGCACAUUCAAGAGAGGAUCCAGUAAAAGAGAAGCAAAGUCUUCCAUCGGCAAAAUCUAUUUGAAGGCUUCUUCCUUUACAUUUUGUUUAUAUUGCUAUAUCUGCUUAUCUAGAAGCUUGUAAUUUUUAAAACUUAUUUCUCUGUUAUUUGUUACUUGAUUCAAUCAGAAGAUUGAAUCAAGGGGUUAAGGUUUGUUGGUGAGCCCGUAAAAUCAAUGGAGUUGUUUGUGAGCCGGAAAAAACAAACGGAGAGGUUUUAGUCGGUGAGCCAGGGAAAACCGACCAGGUUCGUUAUGAUCCUACGAAAACAAUAAGUUGGGUUGUGAGCUUGUAAAACUACUGAGCUGUAAUCUUUAGAUUAUAGUGAACUCCCAAGAGAAGCUUGGGGAGUGGAUGUAGGAGCCAGGGUUGGCUCCGAACUACUAUAAAAAUCUUGUGUUUGUGUUGUGAUCUAUCUUGUUUUACUUCUUUACUGCUUUCUUAUAGAUUACUCAAUUAUAUUUACUUAAAAUCAAGAAAUCUUUCUUAUAGAUUACUCAAUUACAUUUGCUUAAAAGUUUGGAACAGCCAAACCACAUAAGGAAUCAAAAUUAAACCCAUACCCGGCCUUGUUACCCAUAUCGUCCAUCCCUUGCAAAUCAGUAUCUUACUAGCUAAAGGGG